Molecule: ribosomal RNA, 261 nt
Filed under: uncultured prokaryote
Description: partial 16S ribosomal RNA
Rfam family: Bacterial small subunit ribosomal RNA
Source: RNAcentral
UACGGAGGAUGCAAGCGUUAUCCGGAUUUAUUGGGUUUAAAGGGUGCGCAGGUGGUUAAAUAAGUCAGUGGUGAAAGUCUGCCGCUUAACGGUAGGAUUGCCAUUGAUACUGUUUAACUUGAGUUUGGAUGAGGUAGGCGGAAUGAGUAGUGUAGCGGUGAAAUGCAUAGAUAUUACUCAGAACACCGAUUGCGAAGGCAGCUUACUAAUCCACAACUGACACUGAGGCACGAAAGCGUGGGGAUCAAACAGGAUUAGAUA